Molecule: long non-coding RNA, 1168 nt
Filed under: Cucumis sativus (cucumber)
Lineage: Eukaryota; Viridiplantae; Streptophyta; Magnoliopsida; Cucurbitales; Cucurbitaceae
Description: long non-coding RNA (CSAT_LNC001041)
Source: RNAcentral
CUUCAUCAAACACAUAUGUUCCCACCUUCUCUCUCCUCUUGUUGUCCAACAUUUGCAAUCUCGUGCCAACAUCUAGAUUAUACCAAUUAUGUCGUCUAGAAGUACCAAGUCUCCUUGGACUCAAAGCUCAUUCUCUUUUUGGCUAUAUUGAUCAUUUUCUUCCUUGUUCUCUAAAACAUCUACCAUCACCAACUGCUAAAGCUACUCCUACAAGUAGUCCAGAGCUUCACCAAUGGCUUUCUCAUGGCCAAGCUAAAUAAAUGCUACUUUGUCGUCCUCUUCCCUUGCCCAAGAUUUGUGGCUUUCUCAAGACAAACGGUACUUCUUCAACACUAGAUUCAACAUCCUUGACUUAAGAUCUGCACUUUAUACCAUUAAAAAAAAGUUAUUCUAAAACCAUCAAAUAAUAUACCUCUCGAAUUAAAGCACUCGUUGAUAAGCUUGAUGCUUGAUAGCGUGCAUAAAUACCCGUUAUUAUAGCUUCUUUUAUUAGAAUAAUGAGAUUAAAAUGCACAGAAGAUAAUCAGAACACAUAACUUGUGUUGUAAACGCAUAAGUACUUGGAAUUAUACUUUACACAAGUGUUAUGCCUGUUUUACGAGAUUUUAAUAUCUAAACGCAGAAUAUUGAAUAAGGAAAGAAACUAGUGAACCGUAUGAAACAUUUUGCGCAAGAACUACAACUAGAAACUCAUCGGACGAUUAACGUCUUCAGGCGAGGAACAAAGGUAUCAAGCGAAGAAGGGUCACUAGAAGACAAGAGCAGUAGUGGAGGUGAUGUGAUGUGUAACAAACACCUUUUGGUGGAUGUCACUCACAAGUUCAGAAGAUAGAAGUUUUCCUCCCAAUUGCUACCUAUAUAAAGUCGUCUUUGUCAACCUACAAAGAAGAUGUUUGAAUGGGUGCUAUGCCUAAAUAGGCCAAAACCCUAGAGAGUGGCGGAGAGGAAUAUUCUUUCCGCAGUCUGUAAACAUUUUCUUCUUCUUCUCCGAUUAGUUGUAAAAGCGAGAGCUUGACUUCUGAGUAGGGAAGAAUUCAUACUCCCAUUGUUUCCUAACUUGUAAUAGUUUUCUAUUCUCUCCACUUUUGUACUUCUUUGUAAUAUAUGUUGUUCAUAUUGUACAAUGGCCUAAGGUCUACAUUCUUUAUAUAUAUUACAUGUUUAUACC